CCUACGGGAGGCAGCAGUGGGGAAUAUUGCGCAAUGGGCGAAAGCCUGACGCAGCGACGCCGCGUGAGGGCUGAAGGUCUUCGGAUCGUAAACCUCUGUCAGCAGGGAAGAACGGUCACUGUGCUAAUCAGCAGUGAAUUGACGGUACCUGCCAAGGAAGCACCGGCUAACUACGUGCCAGCAGCCGCGGUCCUACGGAGGGUGCGAGCGUUAAUCGGAUUUACUGGGUUUAAAGCGCUCGUAGGCGGUAUGUCAAGUCAAGGGUGAAAUCCCCGGGCUCAACGUGGGAACUGCCUUUGAAACUGGAAAACUGGAGAGUGUGAGAGGAUAGUGGAAGUCCAGGUGUAGGAGUGAAAUUCGGAGAUAGCUGGAGGAACAUCAGUGGCGAAGGCGACUAUCUGGCACAUAACUGACGCUGAGGAUCGAAAGCGUGGGUAGCAAACAGGAUUAGAUACCCUAGUAGUC
RNAcentral lists this ribosomal RNA (465 nucleotides) under uncultured bacterium. RNAcentral describes it as "partial 16S ribosomal RNA". It matches the Rfam family "Bacterial small subunit ribosomal RNA", at positions 338 to 795 of the family's 1533-position model. The record is from RNAcentral.